This 560-nucleotide ribosomal RNA is filed under the name uncultured bacterium. RNAcentral describes it as "bacterial SSU rRNA". It matches the Rfam family "Bacterial small subunit ribosomal RNA", at positions 38 to 616 of the family's 1533-position model. The record is from RNAcentral.
GGCGGCGUGCUUACACAUGCAAGUCGAGUGCGCGUGCCGUAGCAAUACGGUAUGGCGCACGGCGCACGGGUGCGUAACACGUGGGUAACCUGCCCUUUGGUGGGGAAUAACUCCGGGAAACCGAAGCUAAUUCCGCAUAAGAUCCGCAAGGAUGAAAGCCGCAAGGCGCCGAUGGAGGGGCCCGCGCCCGAUUAGCUAGUUGGCAGGGUAACGGCCUACCAAGGCUUUGAUCGGUAGCUGGUCUGAGAGGAUGGCCAGCCACACUGGAACUGAGACACGGUCCAGACUCCUACGGGAGGCAGCAGUGGGGAAUCUUGCGCAAUGGGCGAAAGCCUGACGCAGCGACGCCGCGUGGGGGAUGAAGCUUCUCGGAGUGUAAACCCCUUUCGACCCGGACGAAUACCCGCAAGGGGGUGACGGUACGGGUAGAAGAAGCCCCGGCUAACUACGUGCCAGCAGCCGCGGUAAGACGUAGGGGGCCAGCGUUGUUCGGAAUUACUGGUGUAAAGGGUUCGUANGCGGUGUGGCAAGUCGGGAGUGAAAUCUUUGGGCUUAACUCA